UUGAGUUCUCAGGUAUGGGUUCAACUCCUAUAGUUCUAG
RNAcentral lists this transfer RNA (39 nucleotides) under Aotus nancymaae (Ma's night monkey). RNAcentral describes it as "partial tRNA-Gln". The record is from RNAcentral. Lineage: Eukaryota; Metazoa; Chordata; Mammalia; Primates; Aotidae.